This 660-nucleotide ribosomal RNA is filed under the name Triticum aestivum (bread wheat). RNAcentral's name for it is "partial small subunit ribosomal RNA". The record is from RNAcentral. Lineage: Eukaryota; Viridiplantae; Streptophyta; Magnoliopsida; Poales; Poaceae.
AUGGAUUCGCCAGCUCUCCUUCGCUACACCACAGCCCUGAUCAUUAUGUUCCUGCCUUUGAGUGCUUCCAACGACCGCCUUGUCCCCGGCAAGCCGCUAUCCCCAGGUACAACCAUCGUCUCUGACGGUGGCAUGUUCGCCUUGGGCUUCUUCAACCCCUCCAACUCCACUCCAGACAAGCUGUACCUUGGCAUAUGGUACAACAACAUCCCCAAGCUCACAGUUGUGUGGGUUGCCAACCGUGAAACCCCAAUCACCAACAACAAUUCCUCCGCACCGAUGCUUUCCCUCACCAACGCCUCCAACCUCAUUAUCUCCGAAGGUAAUAACAGUGGUCGUGUCCUUUGGACGACGGCCAACGUGACCACUACGCCGGCGGGCCCGUCUACCCCGACGGCAGUGCUUCUGAACACUGGCAACCUCGUCAUCCGGUUGUCAAAUGGCUCCACGGUGUGGCAGAGCUUCGACCAUCGCACCGACACGAUCCUCCCCGGGAUGAAGAUUCGAAUCAGAUACAGCACACGAGGCACUACCGACCGUCCGGUGUCGUGGAAGGGGCCCGACGACCCCUCCCCGGGGCGCUACUCCUACGGCGUCGACCCGGCCGGACACGCCCCUCGAACCAUUCUUGUGGGACGGGGGAAGCUUGGUGGCUCGUAG